UCCUUUUUUAGUACUGAAUACUUCUAUAUCCCUAUAGAAUUUUUUAUGUUAAGAUAAGUAACAAGAACCCCUUUCUCUUCCAAUGUGAGCAUAUAACCCAAAUAACACACGAACUAAAUGUAACUGCCCUCACCCCGCCCGAAAACCCUACAACCUACCUCCUGUUAACCUAAUACAAGAACAUUUCAAGAAAGAUUAAAAGAAAAAGAAGGAACUCGGCAAACUAUGAUUCCGCCUGUUUACCAAAAACAUCGCCUCUUGCAAAAUAUAAGAGGUCCCGUCUGCCCAGUGACUUAGUUCAACGGCCACGGUAUCCUGACCGUGCGAAGGUAGCGUAAUCACCUGUUUUUUAAUUAAAGACCUGUAUGAAUGACUACACGAGAAUCACACUGUCUCCUCUCUCCAAUCAGUGAAACUAAUCUCCUCGUGCAAAAGCGAGCAUUAUCAUAUAAGACGAAAAGACCCUGUGGAGCUUCAAACACCCAACAUCUAUUAUAUCUACCCCCCGCAUCCACUCCCAUAUAAUACUAUGAUUGUAAGUUUUAGGUUGGGGUGACCAUGGAGCAUAACCUAACCUCCAAAAUGAACCAAAGUUUUCUUUAAUUCAGAACCACAAUUCCGCACAUCAAAACACUGACAUAAAUUGACCCUUCUUGAUCAAUGAACCAAGUUACCCCAGGGAUAACAGCGCAAUCUACUUUAAGAGCACGUAUCGACAAGUAGGCUUACGACCUCGAUGUUGGAUCAGGG
This 750-nucleotide ribosomal RNA is filed under the name Adelophryne sp. 8 IRD-2018. RNAcentral describes it as "partial small subunit ribosomal RNA". It matches the Rfam family "Bacterial large subunit ribosomal RNA", at positions 1550 to 2542 of the family's 2925-position model. The record is from RNAcentral. Lineage: Eukaryota; Metazoa; Chordata; Amphibia; Anura; Eleutherodactylidae.